Molecule: RNase P RNA, 238 nt
Filed under: Kappaphycus alvarezii
Lineage: Eukaryota; Rhodophyta; Florideophyceae; Gigartinales; Solieriaceae
Also listed under: 1 other name
Description: RNA component of signal recognition particle
Rfam family: Bacterial small signal recognition particle RNA (bases 3-96)
Source: RNAcentral
GCUCGGAAAAUUAUGUAUGUAAUAGCUAAAACUUGUCAGAACUGGAAAGUAGCAGCAACAAAGCUAAAUUGCAUAGUUGUAUUUUUCCGGGUUUUUUUUUGCUCUGUGAUAUCUAUAUUUAAAAUUAAAAUUUCGAAUAUUUAUCAAAACUUCAGUUGACCAUGUAAAAAUACCUACUAUAAGAUAAACACAUUAAAACUGAGUCUUUAAUUAGAAAUAUUUAAUGCAAAAUAUUAGU